GACGAACGCUGGCGGCGUGCUUAACACAUGCAAGUCGAACGGAAAGGCCCUGCGUUUGUGGGUUGCUCGAUUGGCGAACGGGUGAGUAACACGUGAGUAACCUGCCCUUGACUUUGGGAUAACUUCAGGAAACUCGGGCUAAUACCGGAUAGGAUCUCCUGCUGCAUGGUGGGGGUUGGAAAGUUUCGGCGGUUUGGGAUGGUCUCGAGGCUUAUCAGCUUGUUGGUGAGGUAGUGACUUACCAAGGGUUUGACGGCUAGCCGGCCUGAGAGGGUGAACGGCCUCCUUGGGACUGAGAUACGGCCCAGAAGGCUACGGGAGGCAGAAGGGGGGAAUAUUACAGAGUGGGCGGAAGCGUGAGGCAGCAACGCCGCGUGCGGGAUGACGGGCUUCGGGUUGUAAACCGCUUUCGACUGUGACGAAGCGUGAGUGACGGUAAUGGGUAAGGAAGCAACGGCUAACUACGUG
This 468-nucleotide ribosomal RNA is filed under the name uncultured bacterium. Its description in RNAcentral is "partial 16S ribosomal RNA". It matches the Rfam family "Bacterial small subunit ribosomal RNA", at positions 28 to 507 of the family's 1533-position model. The record is from RNAcentral.